Girardinichthys multiradiatus is the source of this 342-nucleotide long non-coding RNA. RefSeq lists it as uncharacterized. The record is from RefSeq and is a predicted model, not a curated record. The transcript is spliced from 3 exons. Lineage: Eukaryota; Metazoa; Chordata; Actinopteri; Cyprinodontiformes; Goodeidae.
CGAGGACUGACAGGUGUGGCUCGUUGGUUCAUCAGCAGGGGAGCAUUUAGGGGAUGGAUUGCCAGCACUUCGUUGCCUGAGUGUUUUGCCCUCUGUGGUGUGACUUCUGGCUGAUCUGAUCAAGACCCAAAUCUCUGUUUGUUGUGCAGACUCCUCCCUGGACCCGGACUGAACCUGGCUGGUAAUCCGUGAUCUUCUGGAACCUGGCAGGCUGUGUUCCUCUUCCUCCUGACUCUGUGCCCUCUCCCUGGUGGAUUCCACGUCCCCACCAUGACAGGGAUUAGGCUCGCAGCUCUCCAUUUAGUAUCUGACCAUGUUUCAAUAAACUUCAACUAAACUGUU